RNAcentral lists this long non-coding RNA (761 nucleotides) under Theobroma cacao (cacao). RNAcentral's name for it is "long non-coding RNA (TCAC_LNC006050)". The record is from RNAcentral. Lineage: Eukaryota; Viridiplantae; Streptophyta; Magnoliopsida; Malvales; Malvaceae.
CAUACCAUAAGGAAUGUUUAUCGAAAUCAUGAUGCAUUCAUUUUCUCAAAACCAUGCAAUUGUUUUAGCUCUUUUAAACCCCUCAUGUAAACCUCACAUGAGUAAAUCACUUUACAAAAAUCCAUGCUCAACUAUGGUACCAAAGAAAUGGGAAAUAUAGCAAAAACUCACAAGUUAGCAAAAUAGACAAAAAGUUUCUCGCUGUAGCAAGAACCAGUUCUAGUGAAGGCCCUCAAACCCGAGAGUUUCUCGCUGCAGCGAAACAGAGCAACAAGAGAAAAGUUUCCCUUCACUCAACAAGAAGGCCAUCCUACUAAACCAACAAAAUCAACAUAAAACUCAUAAAAAUUCUCAAAGUGCAAUGUAUCAAAUUUCACAUAUAUGUCAACCAUAUAUCACAUUCAUGAGCUUUCAUUUUAUAAGUCUAGAUAUGCAUAAUUUGAUAGACAAACAUCAAUAUCAUCAUAAUCACACUUGGCUCAUGUACAUCCCCCUACAUCGUGCACAUAGCCGGCAUCAUCGUGUGCAUCCCCACACAUCGUGCACAAUCAGUGCCAUCGUGUACAUCCCCCCACAUCGUGCACACGGGCACUAUCAUCAUCCAUCUCUCACGCCACCAUCAUCACCGGCAUGUGCAUCCCCCCACAUCGUGCACACACACGGUUAUAGUCAUUAUACAUAAUAUCAUUCAUCAUGCACAACAUAUAUAUAUAUCAUCAUAUUGCAAUAAUGCAUGAAUCCAUAGCAAUCACAUAUCACAA